GUGAUGAUCAACAGCCAGUUAAUAUUACUAUUUUUCUGUCUUUUCCUUCUUUUAUGUUCUGAGUGAUGAUCAUUAGCCGGUCGAUAUUACUAUUUUUUGUCAUUUUUGACUUUUACGUUCUGAGUGAUGAUCAUUGGCCAGUCGAUAUUACUAUUUUUUGUCAUUUUUUACUUUUACGUUCUGAGUGAUGAUCAUUAGCCAGUCGAUAUUACUAUUUUUUGUUAUUUAUGAAUUUUACGUUCUGAGUGAUGAUCAUUAGCCGGUCAAUAAUACUAUUUUUCUGUAUUUUUCUUACUUUUAUGUUCUGAAUGGUGAUAUAUUUAAGUGCAAUAUUUGAUUUACUUGAUUUUAUUACAGAUUGUACAGUUCCUAGUAAUGAGAAAUGGCUAGAUGUUAUACAAUAUCAUACUUCAUGAUGUCACCAACAAUGUCAUGUUCUGAGUAUUGGGAAAUAGUUGGAGACUCAGCAGUGCAGAAACUAGUUUACUCAGAAUGUUUGUUCCAACUCACGGAUGAUAUUGUCAGAUAAGAGCACAUUGGCAAGUUGCAGACGUUGACUUUCUGAAUUACAGAAAAUAGUUUCAGUCAGGAUACCAGAAAGCAUCAGGACUUCCAGGGCAUGGCUAUAGCUCCUCCUGAAAGAACAUUAGAAACACUUGAUUAUUUGUGUGAAAUACUUUGAAAUAAAAAAAGACUCUUUCUGCAUGAUUUAAUUCCUAAAGAAAAUCAAUAAACCUGAAGAAUGAUUUAUAUAUAUAUGCAUAUAUAUGUAAAAAUAUGUUCCAAUAAAAGUAUCAAUUAUUA
This is a long non-coding RNA of Mya arenaria, 804 nucleotides long. RefSeq lists it as uncharacterized. NCBI's taxonomy places the organism in Eukaryota, Metazoa, Mollusca, Bivalvia, Myida, Myidae. The transcript is spliced from 3 exons. The record is from RefSeq and is a predicted model, not a curated record.